AGUCGAACAGCAGCACGGACUUCGGUCUGGUGGCGGGUGGCGAACAGGUGAGUAAUGUAUCGGAACGUGCCUAGUAGCGGGGGAUAACUACGCGAAAGCGUAGCUAUUACCGCAUACGCCCUUCGGGGGAAAGCGGGGGACCUUCGGGCCUCGCACUAUUAGAGCAGCCGAUAUCGGAUUAGCUGGUUGGUGGGGUAACGGCUCGCAAGGCGACGAUCCGUGGCUGGUUUGGGGACGACCAGCCACACUGGGACUGGAGACACGGCCCAGACUCCUACGGGAGGCAGCAGUGGGGAAUUUUUGGACGUGGGGAAACCCUGGUCCAACCAUCCCGCGUGUGUGACGAAGGCCUUCGGGUUUGUAAAGCACUUGGCAAGGCGAAGCGGCUGGGAUAAUACCCCGUGCAGCUGACGGUACCUGCAGAAUUAAGCACCGGCUAACUACGAUGCCGGCGGCCGCGGUAAUACGUAGGGUGCAAGCGUUAAUCGGAAUUACUGAGCGUAAAAGCGUGCGCAGGCGGUUCGGAAAAGAAAGAUGUAGAAAUCAGAAAACAACUUUGGAACUGCAUUUUAACUACCGAGCUAGAGUGUGUCAGAGGGAGGUGGAAUUCCGCGUGUAGCAGUAAAAUGCGUAGAUAUGCGGAGGAGCACCGAUGGCGAAGGCGGCCUCGCAGGAUAACACUGACGCUCAUGCACAGCGUGAGGCAAACAGGAUUGAAUACCCUGGUGAUCCACGCCUAAACGUCCGUCAACUAGCUGUUUGGGGCCUUCGGGCCUUGGUAGCGCAGCUAACGCGUGAAGUUGACCGCCUGGGGAGUACGGUCGCAGAUAAGAAGAAAACUCAAAGGAAUUGACGAGGGGACCCGCACAAGCAGUGGAUAUUCUUGGAUUAAUUCGAUGCAACGCGAAAAACCUUACCUACCGCGGCCCAUGUCUGGAAUCCCGAAGAGAUUUGGGAGUGCUCGCAAGAGAACCGGAGCACGGGUGCUGCACAUAACAUCGUCAGCUCGUGUCGUGAGAUGUUGGGUUAAGUCCCGCAACGAAGCGCAACCUUUCAAUCAUUGGUUGCUACGAAAAGGGGCACUCCUAAUGAGACUGCCGGUGACAAACCGGAGGAAGGUGGGGAUGACGUCAAGUCCUCGCUUGGCCCUUAUGGGCAGGGCUUCACACGUCAUACAAUGGUCGGGACAGAGGGUCGCCAACCCGCGAGGAGCCAAUCCCAGAAACCCGAUCGUAGUCGGAUCGCGAUCUGCAACUCGACUGCGUGAAGUUGGAAUCGCUAGUAAUCGCGGAUCAGCAUGUCGCGGUGAAUACGUUCCCGGGUCUUGUACACACCGCCCGUCACACCUGCAUGGGGUGGUUUUGCAGAAGUAGUUAGCCUAGCCGUAAGGAGGGCGAUUACCACGGUAGGAUUCAUGUGACUGGGGUGAAGUCGUAACAAAAGGUAGCUCUGUUACUACC
RNAcentral lists this ribosomal RNA (1460 nucleotides) under uncultured Bordetella sp. RNAcentral's name for it is "partial 16S-23S ribosomal RNA intergenic spacer". It matches the Rfam family "Bacterial small subunit ribosomal RNA". Lineage: Bacteria; Pseudomonadati; Pseudomonadota; Betaproteobacteria; Burkholderiales; Alcaligenaceae. The record is from RNAcentral.